Molecule: ribosomal RNA, 633 nt
Filed under: Triticum aestivum (bread wheat)
Lineage: Eukaryota; Viridiplantae; Streptophyta; Magnoliopsida; Poales; Poaceae
Description: partial small subunit ribosomal RNA
Source: RNAcentral
AUGCUUGAUAGCGCGCAUGCUGAGGAGUUGCAACUUAGAAGACUUAAUUAUGGGGUGGUUACUCUGAUUCCUAAAGCGAAAGAUGCUGCAACUAUCAAGCAAUAUUGGCCAAUAUGUUUAUAUUAUGUUUGUUAUAAAAUUGUGACUAAAGUACUGACAAAUAGGCUUGAGAGAGUUGCAGAUAAGGUGGUGAGUAAGAGUCAGACGACAUUUAUGAAAAACGGAAAUAUUUUAGAUGGGGUGGUCACUAUCCAUGAGGUGUUUCAUGAGCUUAGGAGGACUAAACAAGAGGGGGUCAUACUAAAGCUAGACUUUAAAAAAGCAUAUGACAGGGUGAAUUGGGAUUUUCUACAAGAGUGCUUAAAAAGGGUUUUCUUUAGUGAGAAGUGGAGAGGUUGGAUUAAACAAGUGGUAGAAGGAGGUGCAGUGAGUAUCAAUAUUAAUGGAGAGGUUGGCCCAUAUUUUAAGAGCUACAAAGGAUUUUUGCAGGGUGAUCUCACCUCUUCUUUUGAAUUUGGUGGUGGUCACAGAAAAGGGGGUCACUCAAGUGUACGGCAUUCUUUGUCCGUCCAGAUCGCGGUACAUGUUCGGACUGCUCUGGAUUGUAGAGGAAUGAAUUUCAGGCUACUUUAG